RNAcentral lists this ribosomal RNA (482 nucleotides) under uncultured bacterium. RNAcentral describes it as "partial 16S ribosomal RNA". It matches the Rfam family "Bacterial small subunit ribosomal RNA", at positions 30 to 507 of the family's 1533-position model. The record is from RNAcentral.
AUUGAACGCUGGCGGCAUGCUUUACACAUGCAAGUCGAACGGUAACAGGCCGCAAGGUGCUGACGAGUGGCGAACGGGUGAGUAAUGCAUCGGAACGUGCCCAGUCGUGGGGGAUAGCUACUCGAAAGAGUAGCUAAUACCGCAUACGAUCUAUGGAUGAAAGCGGGGGACCGUAAGGCCUCGCGCGAUUGGAGCGGCCGAUGUCAGAUUAGGUAGUUGGUGGGGUAAAGGCUCACCAAGCCAACGAUCUGUAGCUGGUCUGAGAGGACGACCAGCCACACUGGGACUGAGACACGGCCCAGACUCCUACGGGAGGCAGCAGUGGGGAAUUUUGGACAAUGGGCGCGAGCCUGAUCCAGCAAUGCCGCGUGCAGGAAGAAGGCCUUCGGGUUGUAAACUGCUUUUGUACGGAACGAAACGGCUCUGGUUAAUACCCGGGGCUAAUGACGGUACCGUAAGAAUAAGCACCGGCUAACUACGUG